RNAcentral lists this ribosomal RNA (1350 nucleotides) under uncultured marine eukaryote. Its description in RNAcentral is "SSU rRNA". It matches the Rfam family "Eukaryotic small subunit ribosomal RNA", at positions 411 to 1777 of the family's 1831-position model. The record is from RNAcentral.
CAUUUCAUGGAAGCAGCAGGCGCGCAAUUACCCAAUCCUGACUCAGGGAGGUAGUGACAAGAAAUAACAAUAAACCGGCUUAUGCCGGUUUAAUUGGAAUGAGUACAAUUUAAACAUCUUAACGAGGAACAAUUGGAGGGCAAGUCUGGUGCCAGCAGCCGCGGUAAUUCCAGCUCCAAUAGCGUAUACUAAAGUUGUUGCAGUUAAAAAGCUCGUAGUUGGAUUUCUGUGGGGACGGAGCGGCCGGCCGCACAUCGCGGUUCGAGCUAGCGCUUUCCCUACAUCCUGCCGCGAACCGUGCUACCAUUAGUUUGGUGGCGCCGGGGAUCGGCUCGAUUACUUUGAGAAAAAUAGAGUGUUCAAAGCAGGCCACAUGCCUUGAAUAAGUUAGCAUGGAAUAAUAACUAAGGACUUCGGUUCUAUUUUGUUGGUGUUCGGGACUGAAGUAAUGAUUGAUAGGGACAGUUGGGGCGGUCUGUAUUCCAAAGCGAGAGGUGAAAUUCUUAGACCUUCGGAAGACAAACAGCUGCGAAAGCGUUCCGCAAGGAUGUUCCCUUUGAUCAAGAACGAAAGUUGGGGGAUCGAAGACGAUCAGAUACCGUCGUAGUCUCAACUAUAAACUAUACCAGCUAGGGAUCGGCCAACGUUAUUUCAAACCGACUUGGUCGGCACCUUAUGAGAAAUCAAAGCAUCUGGGUUCCGGGGGGAGUAUGGUCGCAAGGCUGAAACUUAAAGGAAUUGACGGAAGGGCACCACCAGCCGUGGAGCCUGUGGCUUAAUUUGACUCAACACGGGAAAACUUACCAGGUCCAGACAUAGUAAGGAUUGACAGAUUGAUAGCUCUUUCUUGAUUCUGUGGGUGGUGGUGCAUGGCCGUUCUUAGUUGGUGGAGUGAUUUGUCUGGUUAAUUCCGUUAACGAACGAGACCCCAGCCUGCUAAAUAGCGCGCGUGAGCUUUGCUCGCGGCGAGCUUCUUAGAGGGACUAUGAUGCGCGAUAGCACAUGGAAGUUUGGGGCAAUAACAGGUCUGUGAUGCCCUUAGAUGUUCUGGGCCGCACACGGGCUACACUGGCGCCUGCAACGAGCAUAUCAGCUGGCCCGAGAGGGUCUUGGCUAAUCUUUUGAACCGGCGCCGUGCUUGGGAUUGACCUUUGCAAUUGUUGGUCAUGCAACGAGGAAUGCCUUGUAAACGCGAGUCAUCAGCUCGCAUUGAAUACGUCCCUGCCCUUUGUACACACCGCCCGUCGCUCCUACCGAUGAAUGUUCCGAUGAAAUUUUCGGAGAGCACCUGUGAACUUGGCUCUGCCUUGCGAACGGGAGGCUCAAAGUCACUAAAUCUGAAACAUUAGA